GACAGAGGGUGCGAACGUUGCUCGGAAUCACUGGGCGUAAAGCGCGUGUAGGCGGCACUGCGCGUCGGGUGUGAAAGCCCAGGGCUCAACCCUGGAAGCGCACCCGAAACGACAGCGCUGGAGUGUUGGAGAGGCGGGCGGAAUUCCCGGUGUAGAGGUGAAAUUCGUAGAUAUCGGGAGGAACACCAGUGGCGAAGGCGGCCCGCUGGCCAGAGACUGACGCUGAGACGCGAAAGCGUGGGGAGCAAACAGG
RNAcentral lists this ribosomal RNA (253 nucleotides) under uncultured bacterium. Its description in RNAcentral is "partial 16S ribosomal RNA". It matches the Rfam family "Bacterial small subunit ribosomal RNA", at positions 524 to 776 of the family's 1533-position model. The record is from RNAcentral.